UUCUAGAAAAGUCUAUCAAAAACAUAUCAUGAAACGCUGCCAUUUCCAAUGGACUGUACAUGGAUGUAUACUCUCCUUUCCUUCAAUAUGGGACAGUCUCUAGUAUAUUAGCAUGGUCAUAGUGACCUCUAGUGACAAAUAUAUGUAAAACAACUGAUUUUCUUUCACAGGUUUGACUUCCAAAAAACUGAUAUUUGUUGUUAAUAGAAAAAAAAAACAGCUAUGAAAAUGCACAUUAUCAUAAGGCAGCUAUAUCAUUUUUCAGGACUUAGUUCGAUGUUGAAAAUAUUCCUAGAUGAAGUUACUUGAUCUCAAGGCACAACGGUAAAUUUACAACACUUUAUGAAAAUGGACAGUAGAAUAGUGUGCAUAUGACUGUACCAAACAGGCAGAUAUUAAGCCUUCUCACUAUGCUGGAGCUAGCACCUUUAUUCAAUGUGUCAUAGGCCUGUAGAGUCAAUCAACAUGUUAUAAUGCUACUCAACAAUGUCUGCUUGUGUCAUAUUAUGGGAGUAGGCCUAACUAUUAACACAACAAACACAGACCAUAUACAACUGUGUGUACAUUUUCAGGUGAUUAAAGGGCACAUCAAUGUGUUUUGUGCUUA
Alosa sapidissima (American shad) is the source of this 607-nucleotide long non-coding RNA. RefSeq lists it as uncharacterized. NCBI's taxonomy places the organism in Eukaryota, Metazoa, Chordata, Actinopteri, Clupeiformes, Clupeidae. The transcript has 3 exons. The record is from RefSeq and is a predicted model, not a curated record.